AACGAACGCUGGCGGCAGGCUUAACACAUGCAAGUCGAACGCCCCGCAAGGGGAGUGGCAGACGGGUGAGUAACGCGUGGGAACAUACCCUUUUCUACGGAAUAGCUCUGGGAAACUGGAAUUAAUACCGUAUACGCCCUACGGGGGAAAGAUUUAUCGGGGAAGGAUUGGCCCGCGUUGGAUUAGCUGGUUGGUGGGGUAAAGGCCUACCAAGGCGACGAUCCAUAGCUGGUCUGAGAGGAUGAUCAGCCACAUUGGGACUGAGACACGGCCCAAACUCCUACGGGAGGCAGCAGUGGGGAAUAUUGCACAAUGGGCGCAAGCCUGAUCCAGCCAUGACGCGUGAGUGAUGAAGGCCUUAGGGUUGUAAAGCUCUUUCACCGAUGAAGAUAAUGACGGUAGUCGGAGAAGAAGCCCCGGCUAACUUCGUG
RNAcentral lists this ribosomal RNA (431 nucleotides) under uncultured bacterium. Its description in RNAcentral is "partial 16S ribosomal RNA". It matches the Rfam family "Bacterial small subunit ribosomal RNA", at positions 29 to 507 of the family's 1533-position model. The record is from RNAcentral.